CGGCUGCCCGGCGCCUUCACCGCGUGCGCUCAUCCUGCCUCCCGCCGCCGCUCCCGCUGCCGCCGCCGCUCCUACCGCCGCUGCAGCCGCUUCGCCUCUGCCGCCCCGAAUCUGCCCAGCACCUUUCGGGAGACUGUGAGUGCCUCCCAUGACCAAACUCAACAAGAAGCCAACAAGCAAGGGAACUUGGAUGAUGUAAGCCACCAACAUGGGCCUGCAGCACUGCUGUCACCCUCCUGGACUUGAGUGGAC
Molecule: long non-coding RNA, 252 nt
Organism: Balaenoptera musculus (blue whale)
Lineage: Eukaryota; Metazoa; Chordata; Mammalia; Artiodactyla; Balaenopteridae
Exons: 3
Source: RefSeq, a predicted model, not a curated record